Molecule: ribosomal RNA, 460 nt
Filed under: uncultured bacterium
Lineage: Bacteria
Description: partial 16S ribosomal RNA
Rfam family: Bacterial small subunit ribosomal RNA
Source: RNAcentral
CCUACGGGAGGCAGCAGUGAGGAAUAUUGGUCAAUGGACGAGAGUCUGAACCAGCCAAGUAGCGUGAAGGAUGACUGCCCUAUGGGUUGUAAACUUCUUUUAUAAAGGAAUAAAACGAGGCACGUGUGCCUUUUUGCAUGUACUUUAUGAAUAAGGAUCGGCUAACUCCGUGCCAGCAGCCGCGGUAAUACGGAGGAUCCGAGCGUUAUCCGGAUUUAUUGGGUUUAAAGGGAGCGUAGAUGGGUUGUUAAGUCAGUUGUGAAAGUUUGCGGCUCAACCGUAAAAUUGCAAUUGAUACUGGCAGUCUUGAGUACAGUUGAGGUAAGCGGAAUUCGUGGUGUAGCGGUGAAAUGCUUAGAUAUCACGAAGAACCCCGAUUGCGAAGGCAGCAUACUAAACUGUGACUGACAUUGAUGCUCGAAAGUGUGGGUAUCAAACAGGAUUAGAUACCCCUGUAGUC